This is a non-coding RNA of Pelobates cultripes (western spadefoot toad), 250 nucleotides long. Lineage: Eukaryota; Metazoa; Chordata; Amphibia; Anura; Pelobatidae. The record is from the annotation of a GenBank genome assembly.
CACCAAUCCAUUGUGUUUCGUAGAGAAGCAUUGAAUCUAACUAAAAAAAAACUCUAUGUAAAACCUAAAGUGAUGAUCUUAUUGUUCUUUUCACUCCUCUAAAGCCAAAGGACCCUGUGACAGAGCUCUCAUACGUCAACUAAGUACUCCGAUUCCAAUUCCGCCACCUAGCAACUAUCAAGGAUCCUGGAACGCAUCUGCUGAGGACUACUUCUUCCAAUCUGGACCAGGCUGUAGCUCUCACCUUCCA